RNAcentral lists this ribosomal RNA (166 nucleotides) under Glycine soja. RNAcentral's name for it is "5.8S ribosomal RNA". It matches the Rfam family "5.8S ribosomal RNA". Rfam says of the family: 5.8S ribosomal RNA (5.8S rRNA) is a component of the large subunit of the eukaryotic ribosome. Lineage: Eukaryota; Viridiplantae; Streptophyta; Magnoliopsida; Fabales; Fabaceae. The record is from RNAcentral.
ACAUACAAUGACUCUCGGCAACGGAUAUCUCGGCUCUUGCAUCGAUGAAGAACGUAGCGAAAUGCGAUACUUGGUGUGAAUUGCAGAAUCCCGUGAACCAUCGAGUCUUUGAACGCAAGUUGCGCCCGAAGCCAUUAGGCCGAGGGCACGCCUUGCCUGGGUGUCA